UACGGAGGGUGCGAGCGUUAUCCGGAAUUACUGGGUUUAAAGGGCGCGUAGGCGGCGCGACAAGUCACUUGUGAAAUCUCCGGGCUUAACUCGGAACGGUCAAGUGAAACUGUCAUGCUAGAGUGCAGAAGGGGCAAUCGGAAUUCUUGGUGUAGCGGUGAAAUGCGUAGAUAUCAAGAGGAGCACCUGAGGUGAAGACGGGUUGCUGGGCUGACACUGACGCUGAGGCGCGAAAGCCAGGGGAGCAAACGGG
RNAcentral lists this ribosomal RNA (253 nucleotides) under uncultured bacterium. Its description in RNAcentral is "partial 16S ribosomal RNA". It matches the Rfam family "Bacterial small subunit ribosomal RNA", at positions 524 to 776 of the family's 1533-position model. The record is from RNAcentral.